GUAGUUGGGCGGGGUAACGGCCCACCAAGCCGACGAUCAGUAAACUGGUGUGAGAGCACGACUAGUCACACGGGCACUGAGACACGGGCCCGACUCCUACGGGAGGCAGCAGUAAGGAAUAUUGGUCAAUGGACGAAAGUCUGAACCAGCCAUGCCGCGUGAAGGAUGAAGGUCCUCUGGAUUGUAAACUUCUUUUAUAUGGGACGAAAAAAGGGUUUUCUAACUCUACUGACGGUACCAUAUGAAUAAGCACCGGCUAACUCCGUGCCAGCAGCCGCGGUAAUACGGAGGGUGCAAGCGUUAUCCGGAUUUACUGGGUUUAAAGGGAGCGUAGGUGGGCUGCUAAGUCAGUGGUGAAAUCCCGGGGCUCAACCUCGGAACUGCCGUUGAUACUAUCAGUCUUGAAUAUUGUGGAGGCUAGCGGAAUAUGUCAUGUAGCGGUGAAAUGCUUAGAUAUGACAUAGAACACCGAUUGCGAAGGCAGCUGGCUACGCAUAUAUUGACACUGAGGCUCGAAAGCGUGGGUAGCAAACAGGAUUAGAUACCCUGGUAGUCCACGCCCUAAACGAUGGAUACUCGACAUUAGCGAUAUACUGUUAGUGUCUGAGCGAAAGCAUUAAGUUCCCAC
This 628-nucleotide ribosomal RNA is filed under the name uncultured Bacteroidota bacterium. Its description in RNAcentral is "bacterial SSU rRNA". It matches the Rfam family "Bacterial small subunit ribosomal RNA", at positions 245 to 872 of the family's 1533-position model. Lineage: Bacteria; Pseudomonadati; Bacteroidota. The record is from RNAcentral.